GACGAACGCUGGCGGCGUGCUUAACACAUGCAAGUCGAACGGAAAGGCCCUGCUUUUGUGGGGUGCUCGAGUGGCGAACGGGUGAGUAACACGUGAGUAACCUGCCCUUGACUUUGGGAUAACUUCAGGAAACUGGGGCUAAUACCGGAUAGGAGCUCCUGCUGCAUGGUGGGGGUUGGAAAGUUUCGGCGGUUGGGGAUGGACUCGCGGCUUAUCAGCUUGUUGGUGGGGUAGUGGCUUACCAAGGCUUUGACGGGUAGCCGGCCUGAGAGGGUGACCGGCGACAUGGGGACUGCGAUACGGCCCAGACUCCUACGGGAGGCAGCAGUGGGGAAUAUUGCACAAUGGGCGGAAGCCUGAUGCAGCAACGCCGCGUGCGGGAUGACGGCCUUCGGGUUGUAAACCGCUUUCGCCUGUGACGAAGCGUGAGUGACGGUAAUGGGUAAAGAAGCACCGGCUAACUACGUG
Molecule: ribosomal RNA, 468 nt
Filed under: uncultured bacterium
Lineage: Bacteria
Description: partial 16S ribosomal RNA
Rfam family: Bacterial small subunit ribosomal RNA
Source: RNAcentral